CCAUAAAUAUUCUUACUGUUCUGACUAUAAUAAUUGGAACAGGCGAAACAUUCACUAUAAUGAUACCACACAUUGUGGUCCCCAGAUCUAGAUCUUUACCUAGGUUUGCUAUGAUAAAUACAUGUGAUAAAU
Sorex araneus (European shrew) is the source of this 132-nucleotide small nucleolar RNA. Its record names the gene SNORA72. It matches the Rfam family "Small nucleolar RNA SNORA72". From Rfam's summary of the family: U72 is a member of the H/ACA class of snoRNAs. The record is from Ensembl. NCBI's taxonomy places the organism in Eukaryota, Metazoa, Chordata, Mammalia, Eulipotyphla, Soricidae.